UUCACAGGGUGCAAGCUCCAAACUUUGGCAGC
RNAcentral lists this non-coding RNA (32 nucleotides) under Homo sapiens (human). The record is from RNAcentral. Lineage: Eukaryota; Metazoa; Chordata; Mammalia; Primates; Hominidae.